GACGAACGCUGGUGGCGUGCUUAACACAUGCAAGUCGAACGGAAAGGCCCUGCUUUUGUGGGGUGCUCGAGUGGCGAACGGGUGAGUAACACGUGAGUAACCUGCCCUUGACUUUGGGAUAACUUCAGGAAACUGGGGCUAAUACCGGAUAGGAGCUCCUGCUGCAUGGUGGGGGUUGGAAAGUUUCGGCGGUUGGGGAUGGACUCGCGGCUUAUCAGCUUGUUGGUGGGGUAGUGGCUUACCAAGGCUUUGACGGGUAGCCGGCCUGAGAGGGUGACCGGCCACAGUGGGACUGAGAUACGGCCCAGACUCCUACGGGAGGCAGCAGUGGGGAAUAUUGCACAAUGGGCGGAAGCCUGAUGCAGCAACGCCGCGUGCGGGAUGACGGCCUUCGGGUUGUAAACCGCUUUCGCCUGUGACGAAGCGUGAGUGACGGUAAUGGGUAAAGAAGCACCGGCUAACUACGUG
This 468-nucleotide ribosomal RNA is filed under the name uncultured bacterium. Its description in RNAcentral is "partial 16S ribosomal RNA". It matches the Rfam family "Bacterial small subunit ribosomal RNA", at positions 28 to 507 of the family's 1533-position model. The record is from RNAcentral.